Molecule: ribosomal RNA, 508 nt
Filed under: uncultured bacterium
Lineage: Bacteria
Description: partial 16S ribosomal RNA
Rfam family: Bacterial small subunit ribosomal RNA
Source: RNAcentral
GACGAACGCUGGCGGCGUGCCUAAUACAUGCAAGUCGAACGCUUCUUUCCUCCCGAGUGCUUGCACUCAAUUGGAAAGAGGAGUGGCGGACGGGUGAGUAACACGUGGGUAACCUACCCAUCAGAGGGGGAUAACACUUGGAAACAGGUGCUAAUACCGCAUAACAGUUUAUGCCGCAUGGCAUAAGAGUGAAAGGCGCUUUCGGGUGUCGCUGAUGGAUGGACCCGCGGUGCAUUAGCUAGUUGGUGAGGUAACGGCUCACCAAGGCCACGAUGCAUAGCCGACCUGAGAGGGUGAUCGGCCACACUGGGACUGAGACACGGCCCAGACUCCUACGGGAGGCAGCAGUAGGGAAUCUUCGGCAAUGGACGAAAGUCUGACCGAGCAACGCCGCGUGAGUGAAGAAGGUUUUCGGAUCGUAAAACUAUGUUGUUAGAGAAGAACAAGGACGUUAGUAACUGAACGUCCCCUGACGGUAUCUAACCAGAAAGCCACGGCUAACUACGUG